CCCUGCGCGUGCUUACCAUGCAAGUCGAACGAGGUUGCCCUUUGUGAAUCCUUCGGGAGGAACUGUGGGUAUACCGAGUGGCGGACGGGUGAGUAACGCGUGAGCAACCUGCCCUGCAACGGGGGACAACAGUUGGAAACGACUGCUAAUACCGCAUGAGACCACGAAACCGCAUGGUUUUGAGGUAAAAGGAUUUAUUCGAUGCAGGAUGGGCUCGCGUCCCAUUAGAUAGUUGGUGAGGUAACGGCCCACCAAGUCAACGAUGGGUAGCCGACCUGAGAGGGUGAUCGGCCACACUGGAACUGAGACACGGUCCAGACUCCUACGGGAGGCAGCAGUGGGGAAUAUUGGGCAAUGGGGGAAACCCUGACCCAGCAACGCCGCGUGAGGGAAGAAGGUCUUCGGAUUGUAAACCUUUGUCCUAUGGGACGAAAGAAAUGACGGUACCAUAGGAGGAAGCUCCGGCUAACUACGUGCCAGCAGCCGCGGUAAUACGUAGGGAGCAAGCGUUGUCCGGAAUUACUGGGCGUAAAGGGUGCGUAGGUGGUCAUGUAAGUCAGAUGUGAAAGACCGGGGCUUAACCCCGGGGUUGCAUUUGAAACUGUGUGACUUGAGUACAGGAGAGGGAAGUGGAAUUCCUAGUGUAGCGGUGAAAUGCGUAGAUAUUAGGAGGAACACCAGUGGCGAAGGCGACUUUCUGGACUGUAACUGACACUGAGGCACGAAAGCGUGGGGAGCAAACAGGAUUAGAUACCCUGGUAGUCCACGCCGUAAACGAUGGAUACUAGGUGUGGGGCCCGAUAGGGUUCCGUGCCGAAGCAAACGCAUUAAGUAUCCCGCCUGGGGAGUACGAUCGCAAGGUUGAAACUCAAAGGAAUUGACGGGGGCCCGCACAAGCAGCGGAGCAUGUGGUUUAAUUCGAAGCAACGCGAAGAACCUUACCAAGGCUUGACAUCCUCUGACGACUGUAGAGAUACAGUUUCNCUCCGCGCAAAGAGACAGGUGGUNCAUGGCUGUCGNUCAACUCGUGUCGUAAGAUGUNGGUUAGUCCCGCAACAAGUCAACUCUNUGGUAGUAGCAACUNNUAAAGCCGGAAUUCAGUGAGAUGCCGGGGAA
Molecule: ribosomal RNA, 1116 nt
Filed under: Christensenella minuta
Lineage: Bacteria; Bacillati; Bacillota; Clostridia; Christensenellales; Christensenellaceae
Description: bacterial SSU rRNA
Rfam family: Bacterial small subunit ribosomal RNA
Source: RNAcentral